AGAGUUUGAUCCUGGCUCAGGAUGAACGCUAGCGACAGGCUUAACACAUGCAAGUCGAGGGGCAGCGGGGGAGCAGCAAUGCUCCUGCCGGCGACCGGCGCACGGGUGAGUAACACGUAUGGAACCUGCCCGCAGCAGGGGGAUAAGCGGAAGAAAUUCCGUCUAAUACCGCGUAACACCGCGGAGGGGCAUCCCUCGGCGGUUAAAGAUUCAUCGGCUGCGGAUGGCCAUGCGGCGCAUUAGCUAGUCGGCGGGGUAAUGGCCCACCGAGGCGACGAUGCGUAGGGGUUCUGAGAGGAAGGUCCCCCACACUGGUACUGAGACACGGACCAGACUCCUACGGGAGGCAGCAGUGAGGAAUAUUGGUCAAUGGCCGGGAGGCUGAACCAGCCAAGUCGCGUGAGGGAAGACGGCCCUACGGGUUGUAAACCUCUUUUGUCAGGGAGCAAGAGGCGGGUCGGGACCUGCUGUGAGAGUACCUGAAGAAAAAGCAUCGGCUAACUCCGUGCCAGCAGCCGCGGUAAUACGGAGGAUGCGAGCGUUAUCCGGAUUUAUUGGGUUUAAAGGGUGCGCAGGCGGAGGCACAAGUCAGCGGUAAAAUCGCGGGGCUCAACCCCGGCUCCGCCGUUGAAACUGUGUCCCUUGAGUGCGCGAAGGGUAGGCGGAAUGCGUGGUGUAGCGGUGAAAUGUAUAGAUAUCACGCAGAACUCCGAUCGCGAAGGCAGCCUACCGGCGCGCGACUGACGCUCAUGCACGAAAGACGUGGGUAUCGAACAGAGAUUAGAUACCCUGGUAGUCCACGCAGUAAACGAUGA
This 815-nucleotide ribosomal RNA is filed under the name uncultured bacterium. RNAcentral describes it as "bacterial SSU rRNA". It matches the Rfam family "Bacterial small subunit ribosomal RNA", at positions 8 to 812 of the family's 1533-position model. The record is from RNAcentral.